RNAcentral lists this ribosomal RNA (465 nucleotides) under uncultured bacterium. RNAcentral's name for it is "partial 16S ribosomal RNA". It matches the Rfam family "Bacterial small subunit ribosomal RNA", at positions 28 to 507 of the family's 1533-position model. The record is from RNAcentral.
GACGAACGCUGGCGGCGUGCUUAACACAUGCAAGUCGUACGGUAAGGCCCUUUCGGGGGUACACGAGUGGCGAACGGGUGAGUAACACGUGAGUAACCUGCCCACAACUUUGGGAUAACGCUAGGAAACUGGUGCUAAUACUGGAUAUGUGCUCCUGCUGCAUGGUGGGGGUUGGAAAGCUCCGGCGGUUGUGGAUGGACUCGCGGCCUAUCAGCUUGUUGGUGGGGUAGUGGCCUACCAAGGCGGCGCCGGGUAGCCGGCCUGGGAGGGUGACCGGCCACAUUGGGACUGAGAUACGGCCCAGACUCCUACGGGAGGCAGCAGUGGGGAAUAUUGCACAAUGGGCGCAAGCCUGAUGCAGCAACGCCGCGUGCGGGAUGACGGCCUUCGGGUUGUAAACCGCUUUCAGCAGGGACGAAGCUUUUUGUGACGGUACCUGCAGAAGAAGCACCGGCUAACUACGUG